GGAGGGUAUAGCUCAGUGGCAGAGCACAUGCUUUGCAUGCAUGAGGUCCUGGGUUCAAUCCCCAGUACCUCCA
This 73-nucleotide transfer RNA is filed under the name Vicugna pacos (alpaca). RNAcentral describes it as "tRNA-Ala (TGC) (tRNA-Ala-TGC-10-1)". It matches the Rfam family "tRNA". From Rfam's summary of the family: Transfer RNA (tRNA) molecules are approximately 80 nucleotides in length. Their secondary structure includes four short double-helical elements and three loops (D, anti-codon, and T loops). The record is from RNAcentral. Lineage: Eukaryota; Metazoa; Chordata; Mammalia; Artiodactyla; Camelidae.